UACGUAGGUGGCAAGCGUUGUCCGGAUUUAUUGGGUUUAAAGGGUGCGUAGGCGGUCUAUUAAGUCAGUGGUGAAAUAUCGCAGCUUAACUAGAGGGGUGGCAUUGAUACUGAUUGGCUUGAGUGAAGUCGAAGUAGGCGGAAUUGACGGUGUAGCGGUGAAAUGCUUAGAUAUCGUCAAGAACACCGAUAGUGAAGACAGCUUACUAGACUUCAACUGACGCUGAGGCACGAAAGUGUGGGGAUCAAACAGG
RNAcentral lists this ribosomal RNA (253 nucleotides) under uncultured bacterium. RNAcentral's name for it is "partial 16S ribosomal RNA". It matches the Rfam family "Bacterial small subunit ribosomal RNA", at positions 524 to 776 of the family's 1533-position model. The record is from RNAcentral.